AUACUUACCUGGCAGGGGAGAUACCAUGAUCAAGAAGGUGGUUGUCCCAGGGUGAGGUUUAUCCAUUGCACUCCAGAUGUGCUGACCCCUGAGAUUUCCCCAAAUAUGGGAAACUUGACUGCAUAAUUUGUAGUAGUGGGGGACUGAGUUUGCGCUCUCCCCUG
RNAcentral lists this small nuclear RNA (164 nucleotides) under Myotis brandtii (Brandt's bat). RNAcentral's name for it is "U1 spliceosomal RNA". It matches the Rfam family "U1 spliceosomal RNA". From Rfam's summary of the family: U1 is a small nuclear RNA (snRNA) component of the spliceosome (involved in pre-mRNA splicing). Lineage: Eukaryota; Metazoa; Chordata; Mammalia; Chiroptera; Vespertilionidae. The record is from Rfam by way of RNAcentral.